GACGAACGCUGGCGGCGUGCUUAACACAUGCAAGUCGAACGGAAAGGCCCUGCUUUUGUGGGGUGCUCGAGUGGCGAACGGGUGAGUAACACGUGAGUAACCUGUCCUUGACUUUGGGAUAACUUCAGGAAACUGGGGCUCAUACCGGAUAGGAGCUCCUGCUGCAUGGUGGGGGUUGGUAAGUUUCGGCGGUUGGGGAUGGACUCGCGGCUUAUCAGCUUGUUGGUGGGGUAGUGGCUUACCAAGGCUUUGACGGGUAGCCGGCCUGAGAGGGUGACCGGCCACAUUGGGACUGAGAGACGGCCCAGACUCCUACGGGAGGCAGCAGUGGAGAGUAUUGCACAAUGGGCGGAAGCCUGAGGCAGCAACGCCGCGUGCGGGAAGACGUCCUUCGGGUUGUAAACCGCUUUCGCCUGUGACGAAGCGGGAGUGACGGUAAUGGGUAAAGAAGCACCGGCUAACUACGUG
This 468-nucleotide ribosomal RNA is filed under the name uncultured bacterium. RNAcentral describes it as "partial 16S ribosomal RNA". It matches the Rfam family "Bacterial small subunit ribosomal RNA", at positions 28 to 507 of the family's 1533-position model. The record is from RNAcentral.